GCCUGAUGCAGCCAUGCCGCGUGUAUGAAGAAGGCCUUCGGGUUGUAAAGUACUUUCAGCGGGGAGGAAGGUGUUGAGGUUAAUAACCUCAGCAAUUGACGUUACCCGCAGAAGAAGCACCGGCUAACUCCGUGCCAGCAGCCGCGGUAAUUGA
This 154-nucleotide ribosomal RNA is filed under the name uncultured Enterobacteriaceae bacterium. RNAcentral's name for it is "partial 16S ribosomal RNA". It matches the Rfam family "Bacterial small subunit ribosomal RNA", at positions 381 to 529 of the family's 1533-position model. The record is from RNAcentral. Lineage: Bacteria; Pseudomonadati; Pseudomonadota; Gammaproteobacteria; Enterobacterales; Enterobacteriaceae.